RNAcentral lists this unclassified non-coding RNA (28 nucleotides) under Dictyostelium discoideum. Lineage: Eukaryota; Evosea; Eumycetozoa; Dictyosteliales; Dictyosteliaceae. The record is from RNAcentral.
GGGGAUAAGUUGCUAAUUACCCUCUCUU